AGCACCCAUCCCUGAACCACAGCUGCAACUCUCUCUCCCCUCCCCCUCCUCUCCAAAGCUGGGGGGGGAGAACGAGGGAGCACCUAUCUCCAUGCCGCAAGGCCACAGCAAGGAAAAUAACAAAAAGGGCAGCUGUGACUCUUCCCCCUACCACCACCUCCCCAAAGCCGAGACAGGGGGAGGAGUGAAGGGCAGCUAUCCCUGAACAGACACAGCUCAGAGCAAAGCCGAAGAAACAAACAAACGAACAAAGGGGCAUCCCUUGUUCUGCCCCUGCAUUCCCAAAGCUGCCGGGGGGGGGGGGGAGUGAAGGAGCAAAGGAACUUCUCUGGCUCCCCCCUGCCGACCCGCAAAGGAGGGGGGAGGGAGCAAAGGAGCCAGCCUCGCAGCCAACAACAAAGGAACCUCUCCAGCUCCCCCCCACCGCCGUCCCGCAGCUGGGGGGAGUGAGAAAAGGAGCCAGCAAAACGAGACUAUCCAGCUCUUCACCCCCCACCUGCCAUCCUGCAGCCGGAGGGAGGGAGCGAAGGAGCUGCAGAAAGGAUAGGAGCUAUGGGCCGAGUGGCCGGCCUCCCCACACCACACAGCUGAAGGAGACGGAAGCUCAUGCUGGAGUGGCCUCUCGACGGCAGGCCUCACAUAGAGGCCAUGCGGUGUGGGCCACCCCAGCAGAAGAAAGGCGUGGUGGCAUGGGGCAAAUGGCAAUGCCAGGCCUGCAUCACCAAAAAGGAAAGAUCAAAUGUCCCGUGUAUAAUUCAUCCAGUCCUGCUCGCUUCAAAUGCUGGAAGCCCUAUGAUCUGUCCUGAAUAUUAAUGGAUCACUUGGCAGAAUGGAGAAUGCCUGUCAUGCCAACCGAUUUUCUCCAGUAAUGAGGAAAAACAAAGAAGAAUCAAGUGGAAAAGAUGGAAGAAUUGCAAACUUGGCAAUAAUUAUGACUAGACCUUUUGGAGGAAGCAGUGUGUUUAUUACACAGUGAAAACCGCUAUUGGAAGCAGUCCAAGAGUUCUUCAGCUCACAUGAAGAAAUAUUUCAUUUUCAGUUUCAACAGAAAAUAUUGAUGGGACUUACAAAUGUAAAUUGUUAAGUUUAGAAUGUGAAAUUAAAACAUUUGAGGACAGUUGAUACUAGCCAAAUAUUUUGGAACAGCCCUAUUUCUUAUGCUGUAUGCAUUUUCUCCUCAUAACCAAACCAAUUAUUUCAUACUUUUAAAAAUAAAAUCUGCGCUAAAUGAUUUUAGUUCUUUAUUUAAUGUUGCUUUUAAUACGGUAGAAUAAAGAAUAUGCUUAUCAGCAAUGAGAACCUUCUCAAAAUAGCAGGAACGGUUCGUGUAAUAUUGCAUUUUUUUUAAAAAAAAAAAACACCUGUUCCUUUCAAUGCUCAUUCAUUUUAACACAAGAAAAAGUUAUCCCAUGUUGAUUGUGUAUUGCUCCAGUUUAUAGUAAGUGUGUCAUGUAAAAUGUUUUGCAACAUUCUGAAUUUCUGUUUGGGCAUGUUAAUGCAAACUACUCCCUGAUGGCAAUAGACAAAUCCCAUACAAUGUAAUUCCAUAUUUGUACAUAUAUUCAGUAGAACAUACUUCCAAGUGAGAUAAAUUGCAGGAAACCUUUAUUAUUCAUGGAAAUGGUCAACAGCAAUAGCUGUCUUAAUAUUUCUUGACCCUCAAUGAUUUAGUACACUUCUGAUUGAUAAUUCCUAAGGAGACUGGUGAUCCAGUGGAAGGAGGGGAUUCAGGUCAAAAGUUUCAUAUUAGUGAUGUAUGACCCACCAGCUCUAUAAAAAGACCAAUAAUUCAGAGCAGAAUGGCAAACUUCAGUCAUUAGUUCAUAUUCUACAAUAACUGAACUAGUCUUAACUGUGGUGAUAAGGCAUCAAUUAAUUUGAUCUCAGUGAUGAAUACAGAGAUAGGAAUAUUGUUGUUAGUGUCAGUGUCAGACUCAACAUGCAUUUUGUAAUCAGCAACAGGUUUGAUGGUACUCUGAAGGAUCUGGAGAAAGUGACAGAACAACCUCCCUGUCAAUUCAGAUUCAUUGUGCUGACAACUUAAGUUGCAUCAUGGACCACAAGGAAACUAGGUAAAACCUCACAGAAGGAAGGAAAAUACAGGGAUUCUUUUCUACACUUGUUGAAACAGCAACUUACAACAAGAAGAAAAAGAAUCAGGCAUAUAUGCUCCCCAAAAUGAGUGGCAUUGCUGCUGAGUAAAUGAAGUAUUUUGAAUGCCUCAGAGAAUGAAGCAAAAACUGAUCACAUGGGACUGGCACUUGUACUGGCCCUCUCCACAUAAUAGAGGCAAAGCUAGGAUCCUUUUGCUUCAGUAGAAUGAUGAUCUCAUGUUCAUGUGGCUUGCUAGGAAAUGAAAGAGUGCCCUUGGGGCUGACCCAGGGCAUUUUCUCUCUCUUAGAAACUCUAUGGCUUGGGGUGGGAGGGUAUCUGGGCUGGCUUUCCAAAACAAUUGACUGAAAAUGACAACUCGGAGUAUUGUAUUGCCUUUCAGGAUUAGGUGUUUUUCUCUAGUGGUGGGCUGAGGAGAUGGUCAAGAGUUGAUACCAUUCCAUUGGCAUAGACCCACAUUAAUUUAUUUCCCCCACCUUAGCAAAUAUCUCUGGGUUCAGUUAUAAAUAGUUAGGUCAAUAAAAUUUCCCUAGUUUUAUCCACCUUCCAAGUCUGGCUUCUUCAUUUCUUGAUUUGCAUUCUAUUAAUAAAUUAUUCUGAUAGGCACCCCUGGUUAAGUCCCAACAGCUGCACAUAUGAUAUUGGAGAUAUGAGAUGUAUCCAUCAUCUGAUGAAGACAGGGAAAAAUUUUCCUUUGUAAUCAUUGGUGCAAUUGCCAUUUUCAUUGGUCAUUUAAUCUUUGUUGAAAUUUCUUAAUGAUAUUGUUCUUCCAAAAGCUGGGUAAUUCUUUUGGCUGUCAAAUUGAAAAAAGCACCAAUUGUCUGGAAAGAAAAAUUUAAUCCUUCCUUACUUUCUAGCUCUCAUGAAUUCUUUAACCUCUGAAAUGGUAGCUUAGACUCCCUCUAAAUUCUACCUUGCCUGGUCCUGAAACAAAUUUCCCAACAAUCAUUUUACUGUUGCUGGCAAGAUCUUUAAUGACUUCUUCAAAGUCAUUGAUAUGUUAAACCAUAAUGAUUUCAGUCAAUCCUGUCAAUGUGUACUUUGAAGACAUUUAUUCUUCACCAUCUCCAUCGGAAAUAGCUAUGCACUAAACCCGAAAUGAAAAUUUUGAUAAAAUGUAAUUACUAUGCUGAAAUUGUAGCUUAUGUCUGAAUUAAGCUUUACCAAAUGUUUUAAAAUAAACAGAUUGCCUGAUUAUUAUUUUCAUUCCAGUGAAAAGGUUUGGUCAAGUUUGAGAUAGGGCACAUUUUGAGCCAUAUUUUUCUUGUUCUUCUUUUGAAAUGUGUGGGAUGCUUGAAGAGGUGACCUUGCAAAGCCUUGAAGCAAUGUCUUCUUACUCCUGCUAAUGUCUAAAUGUAACUGUAAUUGGUUAAUAUCAUUGAUUUUUAUUUCUAUAUUUAUACAACUUUCCCUCCAGAGAGAAAAUAAAUAUAUAAUGCUGUAGAUUAUAUAUUACUCACCUAAAAGUGUACUUGGAUAUACCUGUAAUUCAGUUUAAAUUAAACAAGAUGGCCUAUCCAGAAAACAUGUAAACAGAGUUUAGUGGUGUGUGAUCUUCCGAAUAUUUUGAAAUCCAAUCCAUAUGACCUUUGGCUACACUAGUUGAGGUUGUUAGGAAUUCUGUUUUGGCAACAUCUGGAAUAUGUAUCCUAGAGGUACAGAGCUGUGCCAUUCUAUAAUUAGGAAUUAUACAUAAUGUAGAUUAAUUUGUGAGGUAUGACUGUAUUUCUGACUGUUUUACAGAUGUAACUGCUCCAAAAAUGGCUUCAAGUCAUCAGUAGCUCACAUAAGACCUGCAGAUAUGGUAAUGGCUUCCUAGAUGGAGUCUAUCCAGGAGUGAUUUUUCUUUCUACCAGCUUACUUCACUGUCCAACAUUUACAACCAGACAUAGAAAUCACACAACCAACAUAAUCAACAAUAACAAAAACUAUGCUUACUAUAUAUGAAGAAGUAUAUAUAUAUCACACACUCUCUGGAAAUAGGGCCAGGUGGAGAGAGAAAUUGUUCAGUAUAUGACUGUGUUGUACUGUAGAGGGCUGUCAAUGCAAUCCACAGUUUGCUAUGAUCAUGUUAUAGUGAUAUUAACAUUUUACUUUUUAGCAAAUAAAGCAGCAAUAUGA
Molecule: long non-coding RNA, 4233 nt
Organism: Anolis carolinensis (green anole)
Lineage: Eukaryota; Metazoa; Chordata; Lepidosauria; Squamata; Anolidae
Exons: 3
Source: RefSeq, a predicted model, not a curated record